Molecule: ribosomal RNA, 518 nt
Filed under: uncultured bacterium
Lineage: Bacteria
Description: bacterial SSU rRNA
Rfam family: Bacterial small subunit ribosomal RNA
Source: RNAcentral
AGAGUUGAUCUGGCUCAGGAUGAACGCUAGCUACAGGCUUAACACAUGCAAGUCGAGGGCAGCAUGAAGUUUGCUUGCAAACUUGAUGGCGACCGGCGCACGGGUGAGUAACGCGUAUCCAACCUUCCCCUUACUAGGGAAUAGCCCGGCGAAAGUCGGAUUAAUGCCCUAUGUUCUCCUUUGCGGGCAUCUAACGAGGAGCAAAGAUUCAUCGGUAAGGGAUGGGGAUGCGUCUGAUUAGCCAGUUGGCGGGGUAACGGCCCACCAAGGCGACGAUCAGUAGGGGUUCUGAGAGGAAGGUCCCCCACAUUGGUACUGAGACACGGACCAAACUCCUACGGGAGGCAGCAGUGAGGAAUAUUGGUCAAUGGACGCGAGUCUGAACCAGCCAAGUAGCGUGCAAGGAUGACUGCCCUAUGGGUUGUAAACUGCUUUUAUGCGGGAAUAAAGUCAGGUACGUGUACCUGUUUGUAUGUACCGCAUGAAUAAGGACCGGCUAAUUCCGUGCCAGCCGCCGC